Molecule: ribosomal RNA, 550 nt
Filed under: Vibrio vulnificus
Lineage: Bacteria; Pseudomonadati; Pseudomonadota; Gammaproteobacteria; Vibrionales; Vibrionaceae
Description: bacterial SSU rRNA
Rfam family: Bacterial small subunit ribosomal RNA
Source: RNAcentral
GAAUCUAGCGGAGACGCUGGAGUGCCUUCGGGAACUCUGAGACAGGUGCUGCAUGGCUGUCGUCAGCUCGUGUUGUGAAAUGUUGGGUUAAGUCCCGCAACGAGCGCAACCCUUAUCCUUGUUUGCCAGCGAGUAAUGUCGGGAACUCCAGGGAGACUGCCGGUGAUAAACCGGAGGAAGGUGGGGACGACGUCAAGUCAUCAUGGCCCUUACGAGUAGGGCUACACACGUGCUACAAUGGCGCAUACAGAGGGCGGCCAACUUGCGAAAGUGAGCGAAUCCCAAAAAGUGCGUCGUAGUCCGGAUUGGAGUCUGCAACUCGACUCCAUGAAGUCGGAAUCGCUAGUAAUCGUGGAUCAGAAUGCCACGGUGAAUACGUUCCCGGGCCUUGUACACACCGCCCGUCACACCAUGGGAGUGGGCUGCAAAAGAAGUGGGUAGUUUAACCUUCGGGAGGACGCUCACCACUUUGUGGUUCAUGACUGGGGUGAAGUCGUAACAAGGUAGCGCUAGGGGAACCUGGCGCUGGAUCACCUCCUUAUACGAUGAU